UCCUUCCCCAGCCUCUUCUGGGCCUAUUUAAGGAGGCUUUGGGGUGGCGGGCAAUGUUUUUUUUUUUUUUCAUGAUGGCUGCCCCCAAGGGUCUUCUGCUGGUUGCUCUAGUCUUGCUACUUGCUGUGCACCUGGUAAGGCCGCUCCGGGAUAACCACCACCCCAGGCCUGGGCUGCAGGUCUUGGCAUCCUGAAGAUACAAGCAAGAGGAGACUUCUUUCCUCAUAGCCUGUGCUUUGGGGAGGAUGCACAAGUGGCAGGUCCGAUGACAGGUGCUCCAACACCUUGUCCCCGGCCCCCCCUUACCAAACAAACAUAAUAAAGCAAAUAGACAACUGUCCUGGUAAACCAGGCUCCAAAGAGUUAAAGAAACCAAAGACUAAAUUCUUGGACUUACAGAAUAGCAGAUAAGAAAAGAAAGAACUUGCUGAAAAGCUGAAACUAAGACUGUGCCCCGAAGAGUAAGAAACCAGUAACAGAAAUUCUUGAGUUUGCAGGAUAGCAGAUAAGAAAAGAAACAGCUUGCCGAAACACGGACACUCCCUGCACUUACGAGAUCAAGAAAAAAACUGGCUGAUGGCCGGGCCCGGUGCCUCAAGCCUGUAACCCCAGCACUUUGGGAGGCCAAGGUUCUCACUCUGUCACCCAGGCUAAAGUGCAGUGGUGUGAUCUUGGCUCACUGCAGCCUCAACCUUCUGUGCUCAAGUGAUUCUCCCACUUCAGCCUCCUGAGUAGCUGGGACAACAGGAUGUACAGAAAGCAUGGUGCCGGCAUCUGCUCAGCUUCUGGUGAGGGCUUCAGGAAGCGUUUACUCAUAGCAGAAGAGGAAGGGGAGCCAGCGUG
RNAcentral lists this long non-coding RNA (843 nucleotides) under Homo sapiens (human). RNAcentral describes it as "HSALNT0405660". The record is from RNAcentral. Lineage: Eukaryota; Metazoa; Chordata; Mammalia; Primates; Hominidae.